UACGUAGGGGGGCUAGCGUUGUCCGGAUUUAUUGGGCGUAAAGAGCGUGUAGGCGGCCAUGUAGGUCCGGUGUGAAAACUCGAGGCUUAACCUCGAGAUGUCAUCGGAAACCAUUUGGCUAGAGUCCGGAAGAGGAGAGUGGAAUUCCUGGUGUAGCGGUGAAAUGCGCAGAUAUCAGGAAGAACACCAAUGGCGAAAGCAGCUCUCUGGGACGGUACUGACGCUGAGACGCGAAAAGCGUGGGGAGCGAACAGG
Molecule: ribosomal RNA, 255 nt
Filed under: uncultured bacterium
Lineage: Bacteria
Description: partial 16S ribosomal RNA
Rfam family: Bacterial small subunit ribosomal RNA
Source: RNAcentral